UACGUAGGGACCAAGCGUUGUUCGGAUUUACUGGGCGUAAAGGGCGCGUAGGCGGCGUGUUAAGUCAGUUGUGAAAUCUCCAAGCUUAACUUGGAACGGUCAACUGAUACUGAUGUGCUAGAGUGCAGAAGGGGCAACCGGAAUUCUUGGUGUAGCGGUGAAAUGCGUAGAUAUCACGAGGAACACCUGAGGUGAAGACGGGUUGCUGGGCUGACACUGACGCUGAGGCGCGAAAGCUAGGGUAGCAAACGGG
RNAcentral lists this ribosomal RNA (253 nucleotides) under uncultured bacterium. RNAcentral describes it as "partial 16S ribosomal RNA". It matches the Rfam family "Bacterial small subunit ribosomal RNA", at positions 524 to 776 of the family's 1533-position model. The record is from RNAcentral.